GAUGAAGAACGUAGCAAAAUGCGAUAAGUAAUGUGAAUUGCAGAAUUCAGUGAAUCAUCGAAUCUUUGAACGCACAUUGCGCCCGCCAGUAUUCUGGCGGGCAUGCCUGUUCGAGCGUCAUUUCAACCCUCAAGCACAGCUUGGUGUUGGGACUCGCGUUAAUUCGCGUUCCUCAAAUUGAUUGGCGGUCACGUCGAGCUUCCAUAGCGUAGUAGUAAAACCCUCGUUACUGGUAAUCGUCGCGGCCACGCCGUUAAACCCCAACUUCUGAAUGUUGACCUCGGAUCAGGUAGGAAUAUCCGCUGAACUUAAGCAUAUCAAUAAGCGGAGGA
RNAcentral lists this unclassified non-coding RNA (332 nucleotides) under soil metagenome. RNAcentral describes it as "partial contains 5.8S ribosomal RNA, internal transcribed spacer 2, and large subunit ribosomal RNA". The stretch from base 1 to 120 matches the Rfam family "5.8S ribosomal RNA", at positions 35 to 154 of the family's 154-position model. The record is from RNAcentral.